UGGCUCAGAACGAACGCUGGCGGCAGGCCUAACACAUGCAAGUCGAGCGAACGUAGCAAUACGUUAGCGGCAGACGGGAGAGUAACACGUGGGAACGCGCCCUUCGGUUCGGAAUAACUCAGGGAAACUUGGGCUAAUACCGAAUACGCCCUUACGGGGAAAGAUUUAUUGCCGAAGGAACGGCCCGCGUCCGAUUAGCUAGUUGGUGAGGUAAUGGCUCACCAAGGCGGCGAAAGGUAGCUGGUCUGAGAGGAUGACCAGCCUCACUGGGAUUGUCUCACGGCCCAUGAUCCUACGGGAGGCA
Molecule: ribosomal RNA, 304 nt
Filed under: uncultured Hyphomicrobiales bacterium
Lineage: Bacteria; Pseudomonadati; Pseudomonadota; Alphaproteobacteria; Hyphomicrobiales
Description: bacterial SSU rRNA
Rfam family: Bacterial small subunit ribosomal RNA
Source: RNAcentral